CAGGUGGUGCAUGGCUGUCGUCAGCUCGUGUCGUGAGAUGUUGGGUUAAGUCCCGCAACGAGCGCAACCCUUGUCUUAUGUUGCCAGCACGUGAUGGUGGGGACUCGUAAGAGACUGCCGGGGUCAACUCGGAGGAAGGUGGGGACGACGUCAAGUCAUCAUGCCCCUUAUGUCCAGGGCUUCACACAUGCUACAAUGGCCAGUACAGAGGGCUGCGAGACCGUGAGGUGGAGCGAAUCCCUUAAAGCUGGUCUCAGUUCGGAUCGGGGUCUGCAACUCGACCCCGUGAAGUCGGAGUCGCUAGUAAUCGCAGAUCAGCAACGCUGCGGUGAAUACGUUCCCGGGCCUUGUACACACCGCCCGUCACGUCAUGAAAGUCGGUAACACCCGAAGCCGGUGGCCUAACCCCUUGUGGGAGGGAGCCGUCGAAGGUGGGAUCGGCGAUUGGGACGAAGUCGUAACAAGGUAACC
This 471-nucleotide ribosomal RNA is filed under the name uncultured bacterium. RNAcentral's name for it is "bacterial SSU rRNA". It matches the Rfam family "Bacterial small subunit ribosomal RNA", at positions 1035 to 1501 of the family's 1533-position model. The record is from RNAcentral.